This 765-nucleotide long non-coding RNA is filed under the name Nannospalax galili (Upper Galilee mountains blind mole rat). RNAcentral's name for it is "lncRNA (ENSNGAG00000024513.1)". Lineage: Eukaryota; Metazoa; Chordata; Mammalia; Rodentia; Spalacidae. The record is from RNAcentral.
GAUCCUACUGAAGGUUAAGUUCAUGUGCAGUGUUUCUGGAUUUAAGAAAAAAAAAUGUCUGCACAGUUUAACACAUACUGACAACCAAGAAAAUAAAGGAGAAAUGUAGAAAUAAUUGGACUGAAUACAUAUAUUUUUUAAUUUGUUCUGCUUCGUUCUUUCAGAAUGGAUGCUUCCAAGGUGGUGUUUGAAAUUUUUCUGGUCUCAAGGUCCAUAUGUCAGGAGCAUACAGACUAAUGAUGGACACUGUCAAGUUCAUUUCACAUUCUCCUCUGGCCAUGAGCUUCAUGAUCUGCUCUUUGUACAUAGGACAGAUACCAUGGCAUGAGCUUUGUGACCCGCUGUUUGUGCAUAGGAUAGACCCCGUGAUGGACACCGCCAAGCUCAUUUCACAUUCUCCUCUGGUCAUGAGCUUCGUGAUCUGCAAUUUGUGCAUAAGAUAGACACCGUGUGAUUACAGAGUGAGUGUUCAUCGUCUUUACAAGAUGUUCAUUGUAUUCAUAAGCAUAUUACUUACUUUUAUGAAAGCGCAUCCAUACCCAAAUGGUUAAAAUGGCAUGUGUAUGAAAUACCAUGUUUAAUAUAGUUUUCCAAAGUUAAGAAUAUUCUAUUGAAAGAGGUAAUCCGUGUGGCAAAAGAUCUCAGCGCACUCUCAAGUGUACUCAGGGGCAUUCUUCUUAGAUUUUUGUGAUAAAUUAAUGCCUAAAUAUUACUAGUGACCAAUCGAUCAGCAAAUACCUACAAAUUAAUGGAGAACUGGAGGGC